UACGUAGGGUGCAAGCGUUGUCCGGAAUCACUGGGCGUAAAGGGCGCGUAGGCGGCUCAUGAAGGCUGUGGUGAAAGUCCGGGGCUCAACCUCGGAUCGGCCGUGGCGACUCGUGGGCUGGAGCACUGUAGAGGCGGGUGGAAUUCCGGGUGUAGCGGUGGAAUGCGUAGAGAUCCGGAAGAACACCAGUGGCGAAGGCGGCCCGCUGGGCAGUGGCUGACGCUGAGGCGCGAAAGCGUGGGGAGCAAACAGG
Molecule: ribosomal RNA, 253 nt
Filed under: uncultured bacterium
Lineage: Bacteria
Description: partial 16S ribosomal RNA
Rfam family: Bacterial small subunit ribosomal RNA
Source: RNAcentral